UUUGGAGAGCUUAUGGGACUGAUUAUUGCCUGAAAAGAGAAGGAAAGAAAGGCAGUAGUGGGCAAAGGCAAUGGAUAACCAUCAAUAAACAACCAUGCAUGAAUUACAUCUUCAAGAACAAAUGUUAUCACCAAGUGAAAAUAAGCUAUAGUCUCAAAUGCUGACUUUCUGGAAGAGCAGAAUGACCUUGUCUCUCAGGAAAAUCCUGCCUCACACACUGAAAGAUAUGCCAGUCUCAGAUAUUUUUGCAAUCUAAGGAACCCAACCAGAGGGGACUGCUAAGGACCCCACCAGACCUGAUUCCAGCCUUCAGCAGCACAUUGCUAUGGAUUUUUACUCAGAAAUGAAUCUCUGCUAAUUUUGUCAAAGUCUUAAUCUUCAAAGGUCUUUGAUAUCAUGCUCUAUGAUUCUGUGGUCCUGUGAUUCUAUCAUAGUGGCAAAAGUUAUGGAUGAACAAGAGCACACAAGCUAGGAGAGGCUGUAGCUGUUUGCCAUUGUCUGAGCCUACUGAGAAGAGCAAGAUUCCACUUCCUCCUCUCCUUUCCUUCUUGUUGAGUUAACUGAGGACAAACUACUUGUGCACUUUGAACUCACUUUGCAGCAAUUGAAAUAAGGUGUUGCCCUUCUGGUGGUAUGGCGAUUUACUAGUUGAAAGAAAAUGGCCCCUAUGAUAAAGUAGUAGGCUGUGAAACUUGAUUUAAGGUCAUGGUAAUCUUCUGACUAUCACCCUCAUUCUGAACAGGGUUAAUUUAUGCUUGGUGAAGAUCAAGACAAAAGCUACCCUCACAAAAAGUGAAAAGAAAAGGGAUACUGGAGUACAAUAAUUACAAAAAAAGAAAAUAAAAGAAAGAGCAGCAUAUUCCAAUGCUGUUGUAUACAUAUAAUGAAAUUUGAUGUAAAGGAAUAAUGGUUUAUUCAUUUCUGGGUUACAGGUUGUUUCACCUGCUAGAGUGAUAUUUCAUUGGACCAAAUAGAAAUCCAUCUGGAGAUGGGAAUGUUUUCUUUAUAGCAGUGUAUUUAUCUCAGGGACAGGAUGUGGAAGUAUCUACAAAAGACUAAAAAAAAACUUCUACAUCUAUCGAUGGAGAAAUCCAGAUAGUUUCCAGAAUCCCCCAGCUAGCAUGGCCACUAGCCAUUCUUACUGAGGAUUCUAGGACCAGUAGUAAAAAGAAAAAAAAGUAUUUUUCCAACCUCUAGGGAAUUCUGUCAGUUUCACUAUUUCCCAUGCUCAGAUUUUUAAAAAAAAAAUCUAUCCUGAAUAGGAACAAUUGAGUCUAGGAGUGCUGGCCAUACAACAAAAUACAAUAACAUCCAAAAUCUACAAAACAAUGCUACCUUUGUUAGGCCAAAGGACAUGUUGCAAGCUUUUGAAGCUCCAUAGGCUUCUUCAUCAGGCAAAGUUGUUAAAAAUCAUGUGAAAUGUAUGCCAGUAACAUGAUUUUUCCCCUCCUGUAUGAUUUUUAACAUCUUUGCCUGAUGAAGAAGCAAGUGAAGCUUCAAAAGCUUGCAACAUUUAUUUUGUGCAUUUUUGUUGGACUAAUGAAGCAUUGUGUAUUUGUUUCAAGACUGAAUUGAAAUGAAAUUCUUCCUCAUCCGUACCACCCAAAUUCAGUCAGUAGAGCUAUUCCCAGCACGGAGAGGACCAUGAUAUAUCAGCUUGCCAUAAAAAUGUUAAAAGAUGUGGAGCCUCUCAGAAGAAAAGAGGUGGCAAGCUUAAUUCUGAAAUAACAUGGCUGAAUACAUAGCGAUUCAAACCAAAACAUUUAAGAGUUAAACAGUCAAAUGGAUAGAUGAAUCUGUCAGGUUUGGUUUGUCCCACAUACAGAGUUAAAAGCUCAAGUUCUUCCCAUCAAAAAUAUGAAGAAAUGUGCUGAGGAAAAGUGGAAAGUUCUUACCAGAAAUUAUAGAAUUUGGUUCUCAGCCAUUCCUACCUGUGUAUUCCCACACAUUCCCUAAGUCCAGAGAUACAUAGAAACAUAUGGAAACAGCUCAUAAGUAGUGUGACAUUUCUGUGUGCCUGACAACUCCUCAACUAACUGGUGUCCCCUCCCCCCUUGCAGCCUCUGUGCCUCUGAAACACAGUAAAUUUCCACUGAUGUACAGCACUUAGGAAAGGGGAAGGAUAGAUUAUGAGUAUAGUAGAUAUACAGGUGUAUGCUCUCUCAUUCACUGUAAUGUUCUGGUAUGGUGCUAAUCUUUAGGUAUUUAUAUGCACACACAGAGGCAAGGGGAGAAAACAAGAUCCAUUUUUUAAAAAAAUAUAUUUUUCAUUCUACUCCAAAGAAACAUGUAAUAUUAAAGUACACAGCCAGAAUACACAAAUGUUGAAAGCGUUUCCUCUCACAGCCAGCCAAAAAGAGCUGAACACCAUUGGAAAUCCCUCAUAUAUUCUGUAAACAAGUUAUGGAAUAUUAUUAAAAUUAAAAUGAAAUCCUAUUGAAUUGUAUAAAGAUGACCAUCCACAUGUAGGCAUGGUACCUUUGCCCAGGGAAAAAUGUAAAGUUCAUGAGUUGCAAGCAAAAGUUCCAUUUUUCAAGAGCUCCCAUCCAAAAGCAUCAGUUCUAAUAACAUGGUAGCACCAGCAUCAGAAAGCCAGUCUUACAAAGUUCCUGCAAACUAAUGAGAGUCUUGAUGAGAAACGGAUUGUGCUUAAGUGUUACCUUUAAAUAUUCAUUAGGGAAAGUGGUGUGCUGGCAGAUCCAAUAUUGCUCAACCGUUAGUUCUUCUUGUGACAUAGUGACAUUAGGUGACAUACGAUGCCGCUGCUGUGAAAGACUUUGUCCUCACUCUUGUGCUUCCUACGACUGGGAAAAUUAACCUUCGCUUCCGACCAUUACUGUUCAAGCUGUGAAUAUUUAAUAAGGACAAAUUCUCUUUUCUUCACUGUGUUUAUUAAACCAAUUACUUACUUUUAGUCGUUGUAAUGACUGAGCUGUAAUGCAUGCCCAACAAACUUGGGAAUAACAACAGAACUAUAGUAGAAGACAGACUGCUUAUGGCGGUAUCACUAAAAUCAAGCUGGCUCAAAAUCAAUAGGACUAAGGUGGCACCAGAGUAAUCUGGCAGCAUAAUUGACAUGUAGAUUGUUUUAAAAAGGGCUCUGUACUUCUCCAUUUAUUAUUGCCUGUAUCAAUACAUGUUAAUAAUGGAUUGUUUCAUGUGGUGAAGGAAAAAAGGGUAAUAAUCAUCAGUUUUUUUAACACUUGCUUUGGACACUGACUUGAGAGCUCCCUGUGCAAAACAAAGACAGCUUAUAAAUAUCUUGGUCUUUAACAUACCAGGCUUGAAAAGUGGAAUUAGAGUAGGAUAGUAGCAUUUGUGGCCAUAGCUUAUCACAUGAUACUGUGUCUAUCCAGUAUCUGGAUAGUUCAUGUACUGCUGGAGUGCUCCUUUUCACUGAUGGGAAAAAUCUGUCAAUGCCCACAAAACAAGCUGCUUUUCCACUAUUGAGUGAGUGUGAUAAGUUCCUCUGAUAUACAAGGCAGUAGCAAGCGGGCAUGAUUAAAAGGAGGGACUCCUCUCCCCCUCUCCCCACUUUCCCUCAAAAUUCCCAAGGAGGCUGUUUUCUUUUUUCCAGUUUCUUUAUUUAAUCUAAAGGAUUGUCAUGAUCAUGCAAUUGUGCGAUAGAUAGAUAGAUAGAUGAUAGAUAGAUACCCAGCGGCAUGCUGGGAAAGGGUUAGGGUAGGGAGGGGGGCUAUGGAGGCUAUGGAGGCCAGGGUGUGAAAGACAGAGGCCAGGACAGAAGCAACACCAUGGAAAUUUGGAAAAGCAGUGCUAUGAGUGUCCCCUAUCUGGUAUGUUUAUGUUUGCUAGACUAAACGGGAUUGUGGUGCCUUACAAUCCUGGUGAAAUGGCAUCCCGGAUAAAGCAAGCAAGCAAGCAAACAAGCAAGCAAGCAAAAUUAUUUUUUAAAAUGUUUGUAUUUUGUUUAAGAUUGUUUUACUUUUUGAGUUAAAUAUGUGUGUAUUCCAUUCAUCUGGGAAUUACAUUCUAUUUGUUCCCACAGGACUGAAGCAUCAAUAUCACACAUGACUUUGAGACAAUUUGGUAUCACUUUAUUGAUUUUGUCAUCAAACUUGAAACAGUUUAUGGACCCAUGAAACACAUGAUGAUUUUUUGGGGGGAAAUCAAUUCUAAAUAUGAACUGACAGUUGCAUUUAA
Sceloporus undulatus (fence lizard) is the source of this 4161-nucleotide long non-coding RNA. RefSeq lists it as uncharacterized. NCBI's taxonomy places the organism in Eukaryota, Metazoa, Chordata, Lepidosauria, Squamata, Phrynosomatidae. The record is from RefSeq and is a predicted model, not a curated record. The transcript is spliced from 6 exons.